CGCGAGUGGCGGACGGGUGAGUAACGCGUGAGUAAUCUGCCUCAUACAGGAGAAUAACACUAAGAAAUUGGUGCUAAUACUCCAUAAGCUCACAUUAUGACAUCAUAGAGUGAGAAAAGAUUUAUCGGUAUGAGAGGAGCUCGCGUCUGAUUAGCUAGUUGGUGGGGUAACGGCCUACCAAGGCAACGAUCAGUAGCCGACCUGAGAGGGUGAUCGGCCACAUUGGAACUGAGACACGGUCCAAACUCCUACGGGAGGCAGCAGUGGGGAAUAUUGCACAAUGGGGGAAACCCUGAUGCAGCAACGCCGCGUGAAGGAAGAAGUAUUUCGGUAUGUAAACUUCUAUCGACAGGGGAGAAACAAAUGACGGUACCUGAAUAAGAAGCACCGGCUAAAUACGUGCCAGCAGCCGCGGUAAUACGUAUGGUGCAAGCGUUAUCCGGAUUUACUGGGUGUAAAGGGUGAGUAGGCGGUCAUGCAAGUCAUAUGUGAAAUGUCAGGGCUUAACCUUGGCGCUGCAUAAGAAACUGUAUGACUAGAGUGCAGGAGAGGUAAGCGGAAUUCCUAGUGUAGCGGUGAAAUGCGUAGAUAUUAGGAAGAACACCGGUGGCGAAGGCGGCUUACUGGACUGUUACUGACGCUGAGUCACGAAAGCGUGGGGAGCAAACAGGAUUAGAUACCCUGGUAGUCCACGCCGUAAACGAUGAG
Molecule: ribosomal RNA, 708 nt
Filed under: uncultured bacterium
Lineage: Bacteria
Description: bacterial SSU rRNA
Rfam family: Bacterial small subunit ribosomal RNA
Source: RNAcentral